GACAGAGGGUGCAAACGUUGUUCGGAAUUAUUGGGCGUAAAGAGCUCGUAGGCGGCCUGUUGCGUCCGCUGUGAAAGCCCGGGGCUUAACCCCGGGUCUGCAGUGGAUACGGGCAGGCUAGAGGUAGGUAGGGGAGAAUGGAAUUCCCGGUGUAGCGGUGAAAUGCGCAGAUAUCGGGAGGAACACCGGUGGCGAAGGCGGUUCUCUGGGCCUUACCUGACGCUGAGGAGCGAAAGCGUGGGGAGCGAACAGG
Molecule: ribosomal RNA, 253 nt
Filed under: uncultured bacterium
Lineage: Bacteria
Description: partial 16S ribosomal RNA
Rfam family: Bacterial small subunit ribosomal RNA
Source: RNAcentral